This 417-nucleotide ribosomal RNA is filed under the name uncultured bacterium. Its description in RNAcentral is "partial 16S ribosomal RNA". It matches the Rfam family "Bacterial small subunit ribosomal RNA", at positions 355 to 762 of the family's 1533-position model. The record is from RNAcentral.
UGGGGAAUUUUGGACAAUGGGCGAAAGCCUGAUCCAGCAAUGCCGCGUGUGUGAAGAAGGCCUUCGGGUUGUAAAGCACUUUUGUCCGGAAAGAAAUCCUUGGCUCUAAUACAGUCGGGGGAUGACGGUACCGGAAGAAUAAGCACCGGCUAACUACGUGCCAGCAGCCGCGGUAAUACGUAGGGUGCAAGCGUUAAUCGGAAUUACUGGGCGUAAAGCGUGCGCAGGCGGUUUGCUAAGACCGAUGUGAAAUCCCCGGGCUCAACCUGGGAACUGCAUUGGUGACUGGCAGGCUAGAGUAUGGCAGAGGGGGGUAGAAUUCCACGUGUAGCAGUGAAAAUGCGUAGAGAUGUGGAGGAAUACCGAUGGCGAAGGCAGCCCCCCUGGGCCAAUACUGACGCUCAUGCACGAAAGCGU